This 4789-nucleotide long non-coding RNA is filed under the name Malus domestica (apple). RNAcentral describes it as "long non-coding RNA (MDOM_LNC017011)". The record is from RNAcentral. Lineage: Eukaryota; Viridiplantae; Streptophyta; Magnoliopsida; Rosales; Rosaceae.
ACUUGUUCAGGUUUAAAGUCGGGUUGAACAUAGGCUGGUUUGGGUUGGCCCAACCCAAGUUGCACCCAUCACAGCCACACAUGUGGCUUCAUAGAUCUUUGCUCCAGCAAUCUGGAGCCUUCCAGAUGAUGGUCAAAUGACCAUUAUGCCCUCAACUUUGUUCGUUUAUAAUAUCUUCGUUAUAACUCCAAAUUUGAUUCCACUUGCACCCACACAUUUGUAAUGACAAGUACUUCAAGAAUACACCAAGGAAAUGAAUCUUACGUGACACGACAAGGUGGUCAACAAAAGUCAACAUUUUUGCCUUGAAGGGCAUUUUAGUAAGUUCAUGUUUAAAAAUUAUAAAAAUCGUAAUAUUUAGGGACGAGUCGUUACAACAAGGUGGCUGUGCAGGCAGCCACGUGCUGCACACGCUGAGCUCAGGAGCACCCCCACGCUCCCGCUAGUACGCUAGUACUCACCUUCCUCGCGAGUUACUACAAUUUUGCAAGUUUUUCUCUCAACUUUCAGAGCUUAUUUCGAGCUCGAUUUUCAACCAAAUUCAAUGAUUCAAAAGCCAAAGUGAAGUUAGGAAUGUAAGGAACAUGUCUAUACCAAAAUUGAGGCUCAACGAAGGCCGAAGAUGGUUGGAAAAGAAGUCUAAAAAUGGCCUAACAACUACGGUUUCAAAUUCCAGAAAAAUGCACAAUGCCCUCCCUUGGGAUUUCUCUGCAUCCACAUGUGAUCAACACUUAAAACUACCCUAAUCCAAUACCAAAACACAAUCUAAGGGGUUCUAGGGGGUUUACCUUUGCCCGAGAUGGUGAGAACUCGCUUGAGAAACACAAGCACAGUGGCUGUUAUUGUGCAACACGGGGAAAGAUAUUUGAGGGGUUUUCUCCAUUGUUCCUAGUUUGUGGGGCUCCCAGAUGUCAUGAGGAGGCUAUUGUAGUCGUUGUUGUUGUUGUUGGAUGUGUGUGUAAGUAGUGCUCGGAGUGAAAGAGAGAACAGAGAGAAAUGAGAGAAAGAAUGAGAGUUAUAAGAGUUAUGAGAGAGAGAGAGAGAGAGAGAGAGAGAGAGAGAGAGAGAAAGAAAGACGAGUGAGGGAAGAAAAUAGGGUCACGAGGGAAAAAGAAGAAGCCAGGGACAAGGGGAAAUAAGUGGGCCCCAGUGGCUCACAUAAUAAGGUCCACAAAGGACGAAAAUAGAAAUAUCUUCCUGAAAUAUAAAAUUACCAAAAUAACCCCAACAUUUAAAAUUUCGUAAAAACCUCGUUCAAACUCCAAAUUUAAUCUGCACACACCCAUAAGUUCGUGGCGACGUUACGAUAAGAAUAUGCUAAAAACAUAGGUCAUAUGUCUCAAGAUACAAGGGACAAUGAAAGUCAACGUUUUUUCUCCAGGGGGCAUUUUUCGUAAAAUCACACCUUUAAAAUUAAUAAAACUGUAAAAUCAGGGAUAGGUUAUUACAAUCUACCCACCUUAAAAAAAUUUCAUCUCUGAAAUUUGAAAUAAGUUGCUAUACAUAAAAUACUCGAAUAUAUAUAGUGGUUGUAUAAAUGAGAAUGUCAUUCAGUGGCAAUCGGAUUGCAAGAAUUCAUCUUUCAUGCCUCCAAGCUCAUACUUUCCUUCUCCUUUAGUAUAAUAGUAUAAUAUAAUAUCUACGUAACAACAUAAAGUCGAAAACAUAUAUAUAUAUAUAUACAUAUAUAUAUAUAAUAACAUAAAAUCAAGAAUACAUAUAUAAUAAUAUAAGUUAAACUACUAGCACUAAAAUUAGACCGAAAAUGAAAAUGACUCUCACCCAAACAUUCAUAACGUCGUGUACUCCGAAAAUAUGUGUAUGUGUGUGUCUUUGGGUCAAGCCCAUAUAAUAACUAGUUAGGUACAAAACCUAAUUAAUUGAGAUACUAACAUAUACGGCCUACUUGCCCGCUUGCUUAACGAACCCAAAGAAUAAGUCAUCGAUAUUACAGUCUGCAGCCCGCAAUACUAACAACUCAAUGUUGUCUUGAUAAGCAAGUAAUUACAUCCUGAGAAUGCAAAAUUACCACUUUGCCCCUCACUAAAAGAAUAUGCAUAAAUCGUCCGAUUUAUGCCUCAAUCACACUCACGCACUACCUUCCAGGGUGACAUCGACAGAAAUACAUAGUUUCCCACAUCAUAACUUUGGUCCCUCAAAUACAUGAUUGCAAUACUCUUUUGUUUAUCAAGCGUUGUCCAUAGAAUUCCUUAUACAACGUAACGCCCCCUGUGGUGCCAUACCCAAACCAGAAUGAUAAAUGUCGUUAUAGAAAAACUCAAAUGGAGAUAGGUGUCCGUCCCAACCAUGCUGAAAUUGUAGAACAUAUGAAUGCAAUAUGUCUUUUAAGGCCUGGAUAGUUCGUUCAAACUGGCUAUUAGUCUAAGGGUGAGUUGUGGUACAAGUUAACAACUUAGUACCCAUGGCCUUCAAAAAAGCUUCGCAAGACUUGGAAAUGAAAUGUGUAUCACGAUAUGUGAUAGCACACCACGUAAUCGAACAAUGUAGUUCACACAUGCCUUAGCGAGCUGCCCUAUCGUGAAUUUCCUCCCGAAUUUAGCGAGAAACCAUGCCAAAAAAGCUAAAAUAACAUUCAAGAAUUUAAGGGUUGAAACAAGUUCAUCAAAUCUAAAGUACAAGAUACCUAGAUUGAAUACAUAACUCUGAUGCAUGAACACAUGUAAGUGCUUAACUUGAUUCUGUGGUAGCAAUUUGAAAUGGUUAAACAUUGACUCGACUUGAUCAGUAGUUUGAUGAAAACUAAUGAAUGAGAACUUAGAUUUCCCCUAAACCAAUAUUCACAACAUCUCGCUACAACAGUAACUUCAGAGAUAUUCAAUCACCGAUGGUAAGGAUUUGUUCAAUAUGGUGUUAAUGGGUGCUUGCAGGAUUGAUGAUCUCAACUAAAAACUUCAAUGUCUGAGUGGUUCUCCUAGACAGUCUGUCUACUUAAAAAAUGACACAAAGUGCAAUAGAUAACCCAAGAUUGACUAAAAUAUCUUUUAGUACCAGGAGGUGAAUCUAGGAUUACAAAUAGAGCCGAUGCAUACCAAAACGUCAAAGAGUCUGACAAAUUCGAGAAUGAGGAAUUUUGCCAAACAGUUCUAAGUAUAGUCCUCACGAACUAAUAGAUAAAGCGUUGAGUGAGUUAGUCGACAAACACCAAAACAUGUCCAUAGUCUCCAUGUAUACCAGAUAGUUUAUGCAAGAAAUGGGAAUCACUCUCAACAACUCGAAUGGUUCUUUUCUUCCUGUUUUGACCUUCAGGUAGUAAGGUAUUUGCCUAACGACUAAGCAAUUCCUUUUUCAUCUCACAUCAAAAGUAGAAAGUUAGAACUUAAUAGGCUAACAAGGCUUCUUGAUGAUCUAAAGAAAAAAAAUGUCACAUCAGUAUUCAUGAGUUCUACAUAAGGUGGAAAUAGAAAAGGUUGAAGAGCGUUAAAGUAUCUAUGUGUUUUUCUACUAAAGUCAUCAACAACCACAUUUGCACGAUCAGGGUGGUAUACGAUGGUGCAAUCGUAGACAUUGAUAUCCUAGCCAUCAUCACUAUCUAAGAUUUAGCUCCUUUCGAGUGAAUAUAUACUUGAGAAGUUUACGAAGUUGAUAAAGAUUUGACGUGUUUCUCUAUGGAGAAGGUGUCAAUAGGUUUUCAAGUAAAGACGGCAAUCAUUAACUAUAGGUCGCAGAUAGGAUGGUUCACAUCAUGUGGUCCCAACCGUCAAAAGGCAUAAGCGUUACUUGACCUUGAUGCAUCAGCACGCAGCUAAACAUUUAAUAACACAUCACCGUAGCAUUCGAAAUUGAUCGACAUCAUCAAAGAGUGUAAGAACAAUGGUCAGGUGAGACAACACUCCAAUUGUUAGAAACAUUGUUCAAAUUCAACAUCUCAAACAAAACUAACUUGUUUCCUAGCCAAAAAUGGGAAUAUGGCUAUGCUCGAAGAAUCAUUGACAACUACCGAUAGAAAUCAACAAGACUGAUGAUCACAACACUUUGUGAGGAUUUUCGAUUUUUUGUAACCGCAACCUUUUUGGAAAUUGUAAGAAUAUCGUCUACUACGCUAGCGUCUCCCAAGAAAGAUAUCUACUCUAAACAAAGUUAACAUUAGAGGAAUGUGGUAUAAAGCUGACUAUCGAUGUUUAGUAAAUUUGACCUCGUUGUUGGAGUAAACAAGAAAGUUGUCGUUAAGGCAAUCACGAAUCCGUCAGAAAAUGCAUGGAUUACCCGGUUAGUUAGGUUUAUACACGUCGUUGGAGCAUUCGUCAACUUGUUAAGAGGAAAUGCAAUCACCAAGAAAUAUUAUGAGGUCCACACGAAUUUCCUCGGCGAAAACAACAAGCCCGAGAAAAUUGAUUUGGUCUAACCAAACUGACAUUUGCUAAACUUCGCUUACAGUUGGUGCUUCCUUAGUGUCUCCAACACGAACUUCGGAUGUUUCAAGUAAUCUCCAUAUAGGUAUGACUCUGCCAACCAUUCCUAGGGAACGCAAGUGGCAGAGCAUCAUCAUCGUUUCAGAUCUUCAGUUGGUCUUAACCAAAUUUCAUCCCACUAUGAUUUUUCUAUUUCGCGUCACUUCUAUGUAAAUCUGAUUUUGCUCGCCAUUCAUAAGGAACACAUGUCACAGAGUAUGGUCCGUUGUUGAAAAUCGUCCAUCAUUCCAUUAUGUCACCGAUAAGGCACAAUCCUGACAUGAAUUUUCAUACUUCAAAUAAGGAUGUGACAGUUCAAACUGAAUAAGAAUUGAACAACUGUGCCGUAAGACAUCUAUAAACGAAAGUCGUGACAUCCA